UACGGAGGAUCCAAGCGUUAUCCGGAUUUAUUGGGUUUAAAGGGAGCGUAGGCGGCCAAUUAAGUCAGGGGUGAAAGGCGGUGGCUCAACCAUCGCAGUGCCUUUGAUACUGAUUGGCUUGAAUGUAGUUGAGGUAGGCGGAAUGUGACAAGUAGCGGUGAAAUGCAUAGAUAUGUCACAGAACACCGAUUGCGAAGGCAGCUUACUAUGGUGUCAUUGACGCUGAGGCACGAAAGCGUGGGGAUCAAACAGG
RNAcentral lists this ribosomal RNA (253 nucleotides) under uncultured bacterium. RNAcentral describes it as "partial 16S ribosomal RNA". It matches the Rfam family "Bacterial small subunit ribosomal RNA", at positions 524 to 776 of the family's 1533-position model. The record is from RNAcentral.